GUGCACUUUGACAGCACAUAUACUAAAAUUGGGAUGAUACAAAGAAGAUUAAUAUGCCCCCUGAGCAAGGAUGACAGCGAAUUUGUGAAGCAUUUCAUGUAUAU
Molecule: small nuclear RNA, 104 nt
Organism: Ailuropoda melanoleuca (giant panda)
Lineage: Eukaryota; Metazoa; Chordata; Mammalia; Carnivora; Ursidae
Source: Ensembl